ACAUACGACCAUAGACUCAAGAGAAUUGGGCAUCCCGUCCGGAGAAUUGGGCAUCGGCAUCCCGUCCGCUCUGCCAUACACAAGCUUGAGAUCGGUGGAUUAGUAGUUGGGUGGGUGACCACCAGCGAAUACCCACUGUUGUAUGUU
Molecule: ribosomal RNA, 147 nt
Filed under: Pseudogymnoascus sp. VKM F-4517 (FW-2822)
Lineage: Eukaryota; Fungi; Ascomycota; Leotiomycetes; Thelebolales; Thelebolaceae
Source: RNAcentral